UGAUACACAUUAUAGGAGUUUGCAGCAGC
RNAcentral lists this non-coding RNA (29 nucleotides) under Mus musculus (house mouse). RNAcentral also lists the same sequence under 1 other name. The record is from RNAcentral. Lineage: Eukaryota; Metazoa; Chordata; Mammalia; Rodentia; Muridae.